Molecule: ribosomal RNA, 240 nt
Filed under: uncultured bacterium
Lineage: Bacteria
Description: partial 16S ribosomal RNA
Rfam family: Bacterial small subunit ribosomal RNA
Source: RNAcentral
AGUGGCGGACGGGUGAGUAACGCGUGGGUAACCUGCCUCAUACAGGGGGAUAACAGUUAGAAAUGACUGCUAAUACCGCAUAAGACCACAGCACCGCAUGGUGCAGGGGUAAAAACUCCGGUGGUAUGAGAUGGACCCGCGUCUGAUUAGGUAGUUGGUGGGGUAACGGCCUACCAAGCCGACGAUCAGUAGCCGACCUGAGAGGGUGACCGGCCACAUUGGGACUGAGACACGGUCCAA